Molecule: ribosomal RNA, 437 nt
Filed under: uncultured bacterium
Lineage: Bacteria
Description: partial 16S ribosomal RNA
Rfam family: Bacterial small subunit ribosomal RNA
Source: RNAcentral
AGCGAACGCUGGCGACAGGCUUAACACAUGCAAGUCGAGCGGGCAUCCUUGUGGUGUCAGCGGCAGACGGGUGAGUAACGCGUGGGAACGUGCCCUUCGGUUCGGAAUAACUCAGGGAGACUUGAGCUAAUACCGGAUACGUGCGAGGGCAGAAAGGUUUAUCUGCCGAAGGAUCGGCCCGCGUCUGAUUAGCUAGUUGGUGAGGUUAUGGCUCACCAAGGCGACGAUCAGUAGCUGGUCUGAGAGGAUGAUCAGCCACACUGGGACUGAGACACGGCCCAGACUCCUACGGGAGGCAGCAGUGGGGAAUAUUGGACAAUGGGGGCAACCCUGAUCCAGCCAUGCCGCGUGAGUGAUGACGGCCUUAGGGUUGUAAAGCUCUUUUCUCCGGGACGAUAAUGACGGUACCGGAGGAAUAAGCCCCGGCUAACUUCGUG